UACGGGGGGAGCAAGCGUUGUUCGGAUUUACUGGGCGUAAAGGGCGCGUAGGCGGCCAGCACAAGUCAGUUGUGAAAUCUCCGAGCUUAACUCGGAAAGGUCAACUGAUACUGUGCGGCUAGAGUGCAGAAGGGGCAACUGGAAUUCUCGGUGUAGCGGUGAAAUGCGUAGAUAUCGAGAGGAACACCUGCGGCGAAGGCGGGUUGCUGGGCUGACACUGACGCUGAGGCGCGAAAGCUAGGGGAGCAAACGGG
Molecule: ribosomal RNA, 254 nt
Filed under: uncultured bacterium
Lineage: Bacteria
Description: partial 16S ribosomal RNA
Rfam family: Bacterial small subunit ribosomal RNA
Source: RNAcentral